UACGUAGGCAGCGAGCGUUGUUCGGAGUUACUGGGCGUAAAGGGUGUGUAGGCGGUUCUCUAAGUUUGGUGUGAAAUCUCCCGGCUUAACCGGGAGGGUGCGCCGAAAACUGGGAGACUAGAGUGCGGGAUGGGAGAGUAGAAUUCCUGGUGUAGCGGUGAAAUGCGUAGAUAUCAGGAGGAAUACCGGUGGUGCAGACGGCUCUCUGGACCGCAACUGACGCUGAGACACGAAAGCGUGGGUAGCAAACGGG
RNAcentral lists this ribosomal RNA (253 nucleotides) under uncultured bacterium. Its description in RNAcentral is "partial 16S ribosomal RNA". It matches the Rfam family "Bacterial small subunit ribosomal RNA", at positions 524 to 776 of the family's 1533-position model. The record is from RNAcentral.